UACGAAGGGGGCUAGCGUUGCUCGGAAUCACUGGGCGUAAAGGGUGCGUAGGCGGGUCUUUAAGUCAGGGGUGAAAGCCCGGAGCUUAACUCCGGAACUGCCAUUGAAACUGUUUAGCUUGAGGACGAGAGAGGUGAGUGGAAUUCCCAGUGUAGAGGUGAAAUUCGUAGAUAUUGGGAAGAACACCGGUGGCGAAGGCGGCUCACUGGCUCGUUUCUGACGCUCAGGCGCGACAGCGUGGGGAUCAAACAGG
RNAcentral lists this ribosomal RNA (253 nucleotides) under uncultured bacterium. RNAcentral describes it as "partial 16S ribosomal RNA". It matches the Rfam family "Bacterial small subunit ribosomal RNA", at positions 524 to 776 of the family's 1533-position model. The record is from RNAcentral.